RNAcentral lists this ribosomal RNA (498 nucleotides) under uncultured bacterium. RNAcentral describes it as "partial 16S ribosomal RNA". It matches the Rfam family "Bacterial small subunit ribosomal RNA", at positions 28 to 507 of the family's 1533-position model. The record is from RNAcentral.
GACGAACGCUGGCGGCGUGCCUAAUACAUGCAAGUCGAGCGGACGAAUCGAAAGCUUGCUUUUGAUUCGUUAGCGGCGGACGGGUGAGUAACACGUGGGCAACCUGCCCUGUAGACGGGGAUAACACCGAGAAAUCGGUGCUAAUACCGGAUAACACGAAAUGUCGCAUGACGUUUCGUUGAAAGACGGCGCAAGCUGCCGCUACAGGAUGGGCCCGCGGCGCAUUAGCUAGUUGGGGAGGUAACGGCUCACCAAGGCGACGAUACGUAGCCGACCUGAGAGGUUGAUCGGCCACACUGGGACUGAGACACGGCCCAGACUCCUACGGGAGGCAGCAGUAGGGAAUCUUCCGCAAUGGACGAAAGUCUGACAGAGCAACGCCGCGUGAGCGAAGAAGGCCUUCGGGUCGUAAAGCUCUGUUGUUAGGGAAGAACAAGUAACGCAGUAACUGGCGUUACCGUGACGGUACCUAACGAGAAAGCCACGGCUAACUACGUG